AAGUGCACGCCGCGCGGAGGACGAAGAGGCUGCACGCACAGCCGCUGCCGGGGGUCGGGGCCAAGUGCGCGCCUCGCCGAGGACGAAGAGGCUGGCGUGCCCGGUGGCUCGGCUAGCUCCCGGGUCCCGGCCCCGCCUGGAGGAUGCGGCUGUGGGGGAAUGGGAGCGGCCGGACCUCCCAGCCUGACAGUGCAUCAAGAGCUUUGCGGAGCCUACAGCCCGGAUGGGACGACUGAGGCCCUCCCGCUGGCGAGCUGGCCGAGGGCUCGUCCCUCUCCAGCUAAAGCGCCAGCUUACGAUACAGCCAAACUGCCGGCUCUCAUCGGCUGUGGGAGCAGGAGGCCCCCAGGGGUAAAUCCCGGAGCCUCGUCUCUGAAGCCUGGCGCUUGUGUCUCAGAAGAUGGAGUUCCUCUCUUGUGGCCCAGGCUGGAGUGCAAUAGCACCAUCUCGGCUCACUGCAACCUCUGCCUCCCAGGUUCAAGUGAUUCUCCUGCCUUAGCCUCCUGAGUAGCUAGGAUUACAGGUAUGCAUCACCAUGCCCGGCUAAUUUUGUAUUUUUUUUUUCUUUUGAGACAGAGUUUCGCUCUUGUUGUGUGCAAUGGCACAAUCUCGGCUCACAGCAACCUCUGCCUCCCAGGUUCAAGUGAUUCUCCUGCCUCAGCCACCUGAGUAGCUGGGAUUACAGGUGCCUGCCACCAUGCCUGGCUAACUUUUUGUAUUUUUAGUAGAGACGGGGUUUCACCAUGUUGGCCAGGCUGGUCUCAAACUCCUGACCUUAGGUGAUCCACCUGCCUCAGCCUCUGAAAAUGUUGGGAUUACAGGCAUGAACC
Molecule: long non-coding RNA, 830 nt
Filed under: Homo sapiens (human)
Lineage: Eukaryota; Metazoa; Chordata; Mammalia; Primates; Hominidae
Description: HSALNT0363335
Source: RNAcentral